UUAUGUGGCUCAGUGGCACAGUGCUUGCUUCGAAUGUAUAAGGCACUGGGUUCAAUCCUCAGUACCACAUAAA
This 73-nucleotide transfer RNA is filed under the name Marmota monax (woodchuck). RNAcentral describes it as "tRNA.Ser". The record is from RNAcentral. Lineage: Eukaryota; Metazoa; Chordata; Mammalia; Rodentia; Sciuridae.